AUCAACGCUGGCGGCGUGCCUAACACAUGCAAGUCGAACGAGAAAGUGGGAGCAAUCCCAUGAGUACAGUGGCGAACGGGUGAGUAACACGUGACUAACCUACCUUCCAGUGGGGGAUAACCUCGGGAAACCGGGGCUAAGACCGCAUAAUCUCGCGAGGUGAGAAUCCUAGUGAGCAAAGGGGUAAGACGCUGGUAGAGGGGGUCGCGGCCGAUUAGCUAGUUGGCGGGGUAACGGCCCACCAAGGCGAUGAUCGGUAGGCGGCCUGAGAGGGCGGACGGCCACAAUGGAACUGAAACACGGUCCAGACUCCUACGGGAGGCAGCAGUGGGGAAUUUUGGUCAAUGGGGGAAGCCCUAAUGCAGCAACGCGGCGUGGAGGAUGAAGUCCCUUGG
Molecule: ribosomal RNA, 395 nt
Filed under: uncultured bacterium
Lineage: Bacteria
Description: bacterial SSU rRNA
Rfam family: Bacterial small subunit ribosomal RNA
Source: RNAcentral